UCACUAGACACUUGUAGACGCCAUGCCCAGCCAAGCCAGAGCCCUAGCCUGCCUCCAGAGCCAAUGGCAGUGGGAGGCAGAGUCCCACCCAGCCAGGUGGCAGGAUUCCUGGGUCUGCUCAGAGCGGGACACCUCUCUUCCACCCACCCAGGCCAGUGAGGAUGGCGAGAGCGUGGGACACUGCCCUUCCUGUCAGCGGCUCUUCAUGGUCCUGCUCCUCAAGGGCGUGCCCUUCACACUCACCACAGUGGACACACGAAGGUGAGACACCACCCUGGACCCUCCCCUGGUCUCUGCCCACCUUGGGCCAGCCACCUCCCCUCUGCCUGGUGUCCACAGGGCAUUGGAUGUGCUGAAGGACUUCGCACCGGGAUCACAAUUGCCCAUCCUACUCUAUGAUGGGGACGUCAAGACAGACACACUGCAGAUUGAGGAGUUUCUGGAAGAGACAUUGGGGCCACCCGAGUGAGCACCUGAUGGGGCAGGAGGGCAAAGAUGGGACCUCCUCGGGGGACACCUGGGAGAGUGCCUAGGUAGGGUGCUUUGAGGCACAGUGUACUUAAGGGUCUGAUUGGAGUUCUCAAACCACUCACGCCUACAGCUUUCCUGGCCUGGCACCUAGGUACAGGGAGUCCAACACAGCAGGCAAUGACAUCUUCCACAAGUUCUCUGCCUUCAUCAAGAACCCAGUGCCUACACAGGACGAUGGUGAGACACAAGCCAGCAGGUACAGGCAGGAGGGCUAACGCCAGGCCAAGGCUGAGUCCUCACUGUCACCGUUGCCCCUAAGCCCUGUAUCAGCAGCUGCUCCGGGCCCUGACCAGGCUGGACAGGUACCUGGGUACACCACUGGACCAUGAACUGGCACAGGAGCCACACCUUUCUGAAUCCCGCCGCCGCUUUCUC
RNAcentral lists this long non-coding RNA (906 nucleotides) under Rattus norvegicus (Norway rat). Its description in RNAcentral is "long non-coding RNA NONRATT017886". Lineage: Eukaryota; Metazoa; Chordata; Mammalia; Rodentia; Muridae. The record is from RNAcentral.